AGAUGUAACUCCAAAAUUUACUUCAAAUGCAGAUCUAGGUAUAAUUUCUUAAAUGUGAGGCCUGCAAGGAAAGUAUAAAAUAUCACGUUCUAAUAGCUGUUCCAAAUUAUACAUGCUCCUUUUAGACGACCUGUAUUCGAAGCCGUUAUAUCGCAACAUAAAGCUUGUAUAUUAUCGAUAAGGCCCCAUUCUUUAAGUGCUUUAAACACUGCUUCCGCUUGAUUUUGACCAGUUCCGGAUAUAAGCUUAGGAACACUUAACAACUUUUCAGAAUUUUUAAAAGAAAC
Molecule: non-coding RNA, 287 nt
Organism: Cinara cedri
Lineage: Eukaryota; Metazoa; Arthropoda; Insecta; Hemiptera; Aphididae
Source: the annotation of a GenBank genome assembly